UGAGAAUAAAACAGGACUCUGUUAGCUACUACAGACAGCUGGGCUGACCAAAUUGCUUGCCAUCCAGGAGAGUGGCAUUCUGUGGCUUUGCAGGUGCUGGGGAGUUAAAAAUAGCGUGGUUCACCUCUUGGACAGAUUUUGUUUCAGAAAUACAGAAGCCACUUCUGACCUAAUUGGUCAAAAUGCUGUUCCUUGGGAAAUAGCAUGGAAUGUCUUCUUUUCAAGGCAAAUGAUUUUGGGGGCUGAUGAGAGAGCUAGAAAGGGUCAUUCUGGUAGAGGAAAUAUUUUUAUCUGGGCCUCAGGAAAUGGUGGUCUGGCUAAUGACUGCAGUGGUGUGGAUGGUUAUGUGAACAGCAUUUACACAGGGGCAAAGGAUGCCAACAUAUACCUCUGCCCCACAGCUUCUGGUCUACAAGAACUACUCAGCAUCAGUGGCCACCUAGAUGAUCCAGCGAGGAAGGAGUGUGGAGGCUUCUAUCCUGAAAAAGACCUUCAAUGUGAAGCGAGGUGCGGUGUCAGCACAGAAGGAAGAAACAUUUUUCCUCCAAAAACUUUAGUGGAGCUUGUUUGCCCAAAGCAGAAGGACUUUUCUUCUUCCUUGAAGAUAUUCAGCGCUACUCUGCCAUCCAAAGAAUAA
Molecule: long non-coding RNA, 637 nt
Filed under: Struthio camelus australis
Lineage: Eukaryota; Metazoa; Chordata; Aves; Struthioniformes; Struthionidae
Description: lncRNA (ENSSCUG00000008152.1)
Source: RNAcentral